Molecule: long non-coding RNA, 2714 nt
Filed under: Gallus gallus (chicken)
Lineage: Eukaryota; Metazoa; Chordata; Aves; Galliformes; Phasianidae
Description: lncRNA (ENSGALG00010007444.1)
Source: RNAcentral
GUAAGUGAAGCGAUGAGGGCAGGCGGCUCACACGUGGGUUCAGCCGUCGGCCAGCCCUGAGGGGAAUGGCCCAGGCGUGCCCGGGCGGGCGCGGGGCAGCCGCGUGUUGCGGCACGAAUGAGCGGGCAGCGGGAGGGGAGCGCCGGGCCCCCCCGUGUGCCGCUGUGCUGUGGUGUGCCGGGGAAGAUCCUCUCGCCUUCUGCGUCGCUCUGUGAUGGUUUCACGCGUUUUGCUGUGUGUUUGGAAUAGGUUUGUCCCGCAGUCAUCACCGCGGGACCUGAGUGUCUCGGUCUAUUAAACGCACAUUCGAUUUCCUCCCAUGGGUUGAAAUUUUCACCCUCGGUUUUGUUUCCAACGACCCAGCGGCACUGGGUAAGCCCUUAUUCUCUCUGCCGUUCUGAAGAACAGCCAGAAGCGCCUCGUAUCCUCCGCGGGCACGUGGGUGCACGGCGCACGCCUCCCUCUCAGACGGCCUGCAGGAGAGGGUGGAAAUGAGUUAAGCUCUUGGGUGGAAAACCAGCCCCAGUUCCAAUCAGUGGCCUAAAGGCAGGAGCUUUGGUCCGAACCAGAAACUGUGUGUGAUUCAGCACUGAGCAGAUAAAACGUGUUUACUUUAGCCCACUGAGUUAGGGGCUGGCUUUGCCUCCAGAACAGUCCCUGGUGAACUGGCUCAGGUGUGGGAUUGUUGCUCUGAGGUCAUGGCUUCGUGCUGAUAGCGAGUGUGAAAAGGGCUCCUCUCAAUGCGCGCGUUAUCAUGUGAGGAUAUGCUUUAUCUCUGGUGCUUUUGCACGAAGAAUAGCAUUCAUCCAAAAAAGUCACGGUAAAUAAUAGCGUUAUCUACCUUGUUAACAGUAUAAUGUGGUUUUCUUCUCACUUUGCUUCCUUAACAAGGUGUAAAGUUGCAGUUUGCCUGAUAAAGCAGGGCAGUAAAAACAGAGGUGCAGUUAGUGUUUGUACUCUUUAGUCGUGAAACUGAAACUACAGGAGGAGCUGUGGGCAAUAAAGAGAGCUUUCAGAUAUCCAUAUCAACUUAAAUUACACAGUUCUUUAAGAGGUGGGUUAUAAAGUUACUGAUAAGAGCGCUGUAACUGCGAGAUAUAAGAGUUGAUCUUCCAGGAGUGAUGCCAACAUGCAGCUCUUCAUUAAAAAUCAUAUUCUGAGCUUUCGGUGCCCCAUCUGAGGAAUCAAUGCAACAAUCGAUUCUGACAGGAAAGGUUUCCGAGCCAAUGCGUCUUAUUGUUAGCGCAGCUGCAAAGACAGAAAGCACUGCUCAGGGAAUACCCAACUGUGGGUUCGAUGUCACUUUUGUUAAUGCUAAAUGUACAAUCCAAGGGACGUUUACUGGACAGCAAACUUUGGAAAGGAGAACUUAAAAAAAAAAAGGUAACUUUGAGGAUUUUUUUUUUGUGUUAAAUGCUAUGCAAUGCACUUUUACCUGUAAUUCAGUGAAGGUUUGUGCCAUCAGCUGCACAGAAGUGUGGUUCUGCCCAUAUCUCACCACUAACGUGAGAAGUUAUACAUGGAUCUGUCUAUGAGCCUGGAACCCAGCCACUCUUUCUGGGAAACUGUGUGCCUAUGACUCAGUACACACAUACUUAUCUAUUAAUAUGUUUGCAGAAGCAGACCUCACAUCAUAAAAAAAUACUGCAGGCUAAUUCAACUAUUACUAAUUGUAUGGCCUAAAACCAAAUUGUUUAAUAUUUUGUUAAUAUGUGAAUAUAACAGGAUAUUUUAUCUUAAUGUACAUUGAUAAUGGUUCUUUUAUUGCUCCUUCAAGUUUCUGCUAGAAAGGAAUGGAACUGAAGGAAUUUUGUGGUCAUUAGAUGAAUCCAAUUCAUAGAUAUUUAAGAUAUUUGGUUAAAUUACAGUAAAUGUCUGAAGUAAUAGUUUUUGUAUGUCUGAUGUUAAGUUUGUCUGUCAUUUAAAGCUAAAUGCAUCUCAUUCCAGAAAGUACCGGAUUUCAGUAAAAAUACAAGGAUUCCAGUAAUGGUGCUGAAUAUUCCAAAUUCCCUUUGUUGAGUAUAUCGAUGCAGUCUCAGCUUUGAUCAAGUUCAAAAGGCAAACUGUGGCAAAUGGGAAGAAUUUGUCCUUUUCCUAGUGCUGUAGUUGUGUGAAGCACAUUUAGGAGUCCUGCAGUGCCCUGACGUUGCAGUUUGCAGCACCUGUGCAGACAUUUAUUGCUGAGUGCCUCAGCUCCAGGAGGCAAUCAUAUCCAGAGCUCUGCAGCUGGAUAUUCCCCUUCACAGGUGUUACGAUGAGGGAGGACAGCCCCGGUGUACAAGAAGUGCAAGGAAGAGAGAUUCUGCCUCCUCUUCAGGAGCACAGAAAACAGAAAGGACAAACCAGGACUCCAAAGCCUGGUCAAAAUUGAGACUCUGCUGGCCAGCAGCCACCUUUACUGUUGAAAAUCUGCAGUCGUUGGCAAAAGGUCUGUCCUGCAGUCCAUUGAGUUCCUGCCAGUGGAAGACUUAAGGAAAGUACUGCUUCUCCUAAUGGUUGUUGCUACUGCAAGCAGACACGCUGUACCGUCUAGGGCCUGGGUGAAUGGUAAAUAGCCUGAAAGCUUCACUGACACCUCACAUAUGAUAACCUAAUAACACAUCUUUGUUUUUCUCAUAGGUAUUUAAUCUCUGAUACAACAGCGAAGAUACUGCAGUGGUGUCAGCCUAUCUCAGGGCCAAAUUUUAUAUAUAUAUAUAUAUAUUUAUUUAUUU